GGCGGCGUGCUUAACACAUGCAAGUCGAACGGGAACCUUUAUUUCGGUAAAGGUGAGAGUGGCAAACGGGUGAGUAACACGUAGGCAACCUGCCGACAGGAUGGGGACAACAUUCCGAAAGGAAUGCUAAUACCGAAUGGAGUCCGGAGAUGGCAUCAUCUCCGGAUAAAAAUGGCCUCUGAAUAUGCUAUCGCCUGUCGAUGGGCCUGCGUCUGAUUAGCCAGUUGGCGGGGUAACGGCCCACCAAAGCGACGAUCAGUAGCCGGUCUGAGAGGAUGAACGGCCACAUUGGGACUGAGACACGGCCCAGACUCCUACGGGAGGCAGCAGUGGGGAAUCUUCCACAAUGGGCGAAAGCCUGAUGGAGCAACGCCGCGUGAGUGAAGAAGGUCUUCGGAUCGUAAAGCUCUGUUGCACGGGACGAAAACCGAGCUUGAGAAUAUUGAGUUUGGGGACG
RNAcentral lists this ribosomal RNA (457 nucleotides) under Selenomonas sputigena. RNAcentral's name for it is "bacterial SSU rRNA". It matches the Rfam family "Bacterial small subunit ribosomal RNA", at positions 38 to 474 of the family's 1533-position model. Lineage: Bacteria; Bacillati; Bacillota; Negativicutes; Selenomonadales; Selenomonadaceae. The record is from RNAcentral.